This 387-nucleotide unclassified non-coding RNA is filed under the name soil metagenome. RNAcentral's name for it is "partial contains 5.8S ribosomal RNA, internal transcribed spacer 2, and large subunit ribosomal RNA". The stretch from base 1 to 120 matches the Rfam family "5.8S ribosomal RNA", at positions 35 to 154 of the family's 154-position model. The record is from RNAcentral.
GAUGAAGAACGCAGCGAAAUGCGAUAAGUAAUGUGAAUUGCAGAAUUCAGUGAAUCAUCGAAUCUUUGAACGCACAUUGCGCCCAUUAGUAUUCUAGUGGGCGUGCCUGUUCGAGCGUCAUUAAUUCCACUUAAGCCCUGCUUAGUGUUGGGAAUCUACUCUAGUGGUGCUACCCUGGAGCUACCCCUGAAAGGGGGCUGGCCCGGUAGCUACCCUGUAGUUCCUCAAAGAUAGUGCGCGGAGUUGCGUGGUCCUCUGAGCUUAGUAACUAUACACCUAGCUUUUGAGUGUCCCGCGGCGCCUGCCGUUUAAACCCCAUCUUUUAAUGGUUGACCUCGGAUCAGGUAGGAAUACCCGCUGAACUUAAGCAUAUCAAUAAGCGGAGGA